RNA transcript from Brassica oleracea var. oleracea, 2862 nucleotides. It is a transcript of the gene named phosphatidylinositol 4-phosphate 5-kinase 3, with no coding region annotated. The transcript is spliced from 8 exons. The record is from RefSeq and is a predicted model, not a curated record. Lineage: Eukaryota; Viridiplantae; Streptophyta; Magnoliopsida; Brassicales; Brassicaceae.
CAACUUAGCAGAUACACAUCUAACGGCCAGAUUUUCAUCGUUGAGCUGAUCAUUUUAUCUCCUUGUAAGAGAGCUUCACCAUUCCUAGUUUUCCUGAUAAAUGCUUCCUUCGAUCUUCAUUCUCUGCUUUCAACUUUAUAUAACUUGCGUCUCAUUUCCAUCAAACCUUCUUUUCUGGACUACUUUUUGUCGGGUGACCAUAUAUCAUUUUCUCUUCAACUAUUCAGAACAAAAAGGUUUGAUUGCUGAAUGUUUAAGUAGAAGAAACAAACAAGUCUGGAAAAAAAAUCAACGGGAAAUGUCAGAGUUGAUGACUUUGGUGCUGUGUUGCCGGCGGGAGUAGAGUAAUAAGAAAAGUAACAUAAAAAAAAAAAUGCAAGAGGCUGUAUUCCUCUUCAGUGAGGAGAAUCUAAACAAGGGGCAAUCCUCAGGGGGUCGUAGCGGCGGGGCCACCAAAUAUAAACAGAGUUCCCGUCGCGUGGUCCCCACAACAAACUGCGAGCUGAGUGACGGGAAGGCCGAGAUUAGAAUAGUAGAGAAAGUUUUGAAGAACGGUGACCUCUACAACGGAGGCUUAUCGGCGGGGGUGCCUCACGGUACAGGGAAGUAUCUGUGGUCGGAUGGCUGCAUGUACGAAGGGGAAUGGACACGUGGCAAAGCGAGUGGGAAAGGGCGUUUUUCUUGGCCGUCUGGAGCUACCUACGAGGGUCAGUUCAAGGAUGGUCGAAUGGACGGGGAGGGAACGUUCAUAGGAAUCGACGGCGAUACUUACAGAGGGCACUGGCUCUGGGGGAGAAAGCAUGGCUACGGAGAGAAGAGGUACGCGAACGGCGACGUUUAUCAAGGGAACUGGAAGGCUAAUCUGCAAGACGGUAACGGACGUUAUGUGUGGAGCGAUGGGAAUGAGUACGUGGGAGAGUGGAAGAACGGUGUUAUCUCUGGGAAAGGGAUCAUGACUUGGGCUAACGGAAACCGUUACGAAGGGAUGUGGGAAAACGGAGCUCCGGUUGGGAAAGGGGUUUUGAGUUGGAACGAGGAGAAGACAAGUAAUAAUAAUCAGUUCGGUGGGUGGGGGAGGAAGAACAAAAAGAAAGACGAUGAGAUUGUGCAGCAGCAAAAGCUCUCUUCGGUAGAAACUUUGUCAAAGACUACCAACUUUCCGCGGAUUUGUAUAUCGGAGCUGGAGGAUUCAAACGCGUGUGAUAAUGUAGAGGCGGGGUCGAUGUUGAGUCCGUACACGAGCGAGUCAGAUACAGGUGAUAACGCGAGCGGAUGUGGAGAGUAUGAGUGGGCAAGGAGCCCUUUGCUUUUGGAGAGUGGUGGUGCCAUGAGUUCGCAGCAAAGUCCGAGAUGGCUGGACGAAGGGGAUGUUAAGAAACCGGGGUAUACAGUUACUGCCGGACAUAAAAGCUAUGAUUUGAUGUUGAAUCUACAGCUUGGCAUCAGAUAUUCUGUUGGCAAACAUGCUUCGGUUUUGAGGGAGCUUAGGCAUUGUGAUUUUGAUCCCAAGGAUAAACAAUGGACCAGGUUCCCGCCCGAAGGAUCUAAGUGUACACCUCCCCAUCAGUCCAUCGAUUUUAAAUGGAAAGACUACUGCCCCAUUGUGUUUAGGCAUCUAAGAGAGUUAUUUACUAUAGACCCAGCGGAUUACAUGCUCGCUAUUUGUGGAGAUGAAUCUCUUCGGGAAUUUUCUUCUCCUGGAAAGAGUGGAAGCUCCUUCUACCUGACUCAAGACGAACGCUUCAUGAUUAAAACCAUGAAGAAAUCUGAAAUAAAGGUGUUGCUUAAGAUGCUCCCAAAUUAUUAUGAGCAUGUCUCGAAGUACAAAAACUCAUUGGUCACCAAGUUUUUUGGCGUGCAUUGUGUCAAACCAGUAGGGGGGCAAAAGACUCGGUUCAUAGUGAUGGGAAAUCUAUUUUGUUCGGAGUAUCGUAUACACAAACGGUUUGACCUGAAAGGUUCAUCGCAUGGCCGUACGAUUGACAAGGAUGAAGGUGAAAUCGACGAGACCACAACACUCAAAGACUUGGAUCUCAAGUAUGUCUUUCGACUCGAGACCUCGUGGUUUCAUGCCUUUAUCAACCAAAUCGACAUCGACUGUGAGUUUCUUGAAGCUGAGCGGAUUAUGGAUUAUAGUCUCUUAAUUGGUCUCCAUUUCCGGGAAUCUUGCUUGCGUGACGAUAUUUCCUUGGGGAUCGGUCGAAGAGAUCAGGAAGACAAAUUGAUGAGAGGAUAUAAUUCGCUUCCGAAUAUGGACUCUGUCACGCAGACUUGUAAUGGACCAUUAAUUAGACUUGGGGAAAGUACACCCGCAAAAGCAGAGCAGGUGAGCAGAUUUGAGGAAGAAGCGUGGGAAGAUGACAGCAUUGACAACUCAAAUCCAAAGAAUACAAGGAAGGAGGUUGUUGACGUGAUCCUGUACUUCGGUAUUAUUGAUAUUCUUCAAGACUAUGAUAUCACCAAAAAGUUAGAGCACGCCUACAAGUCACUCCAUGCAGAUCCCACUUCUAUAUCAGCUGUUGAUCCCAAGCUUUAUUCCAAAAGGUUUAGAGACUUUAUAAACAAGAUAUUUGUUGAAGACAAAUGAGAAAAUAUAAUAUGCAACAGCUGCACAAGUUUAAAGACCAAGAAUCUAAAGAUCCACCAAGAGUUAUAUUGUACAUUGGAAUCUCUAGGCAUGUGAUUGGAUGUUGAAGAUAUUGCAUGCGGCUGUUUUAACAUGAUUUUAUUGGAGGGGAGGGGCGGGGAGGUGGUUCAUAAAUUUUAUUGGAGAGGAUAGAUUUUUGGUGCUUUCUCAAAAGUUUUUUUUUUGAAUAGUUUGUAAAAUUUGUUCAGAAAACACUUUUGUACAAGAUUUAGCUA